Molecule: ribosomal RNA, 964 nt
Filed under: Pediococcus pentosaceus
Lineage: Bacteria; Bacillati; Bacillota; Bacilli; Lactobacillales; Lactobacillaceae
Description: bacterial SSU rRNA
Rfam family: Bacterial small subunit ribosomal RNA
Source: RNAcentral
CUAUACAUGCAGUCGAACGAACUUCCGUUAAUUGAUUAUGACGUACUUGUACUGAUUGAGAUUUUAACACGAAGUGAGUGGCGAACGGGUGAGUAACACGUGGGUAACCUGCCCAGAAGUAGGGGAUAACACCUGGAAACAGAUGCUAAUACCGUAUAACAGAGAAAACCGCAUGGUUUUCUUUUAAAAGAUGGCUCUGCUAUCACUUCUGGAUGGACCCGCGGCGUAUUAGCUAGUUGGUGAGGUAAAGGCUCACCAAGGCAGUGAUACGUAGCCGACCUGAGAGGGUAAUCGGCCACAUUGGGACUGAGACACGGCCCAGACUCCUACGGGAGGCAGCAGUAGGGAAUCUUCCACAAUGGACGCAAGUCUGAUGGAGCAACGCCGCGUGAGUGAAGAAGGGUUUCGGCUCGUAAAGCUCUGUUGUUAAAGAAGAACGUGGGUAAGAGUAACUGUUUACCCAGUGACGGUAUUUAACCAGAAAGCCACGGCUAACUACGUGCCAGCAGCCGCGGUAAUACGUAGGUGGCAAGCGUUAUCCGGAUUUAUUGGGCGUAAAGCGAGCGCAGGCGGUCUUUUAAGUCUAAUGUGAAAGCCUUCGGCUCAACCGAAGAAGUGCAUUGGAAACUGGGAGACUUGAGUGCAGAAGAGGACAGUGGAACUCCAUGUGUAGCGGUGAAAUGCGUAGAUAUAUGGAAGAACACCAGUGGCGAAGGCGGCUGUCUGGUCUGCAACUGACGCUGAGGCUCGAAAGCAUGGGUAGCGAACAGGAUUAGAUACCCUGGUAGUCCAUGCCGUAAACGAUGAUUACUAAGUGUUGGAGGGUUUCCGCCCUUCAGUGCUGCAGCUAACGCAUUAAGUAAUCCGCCUGGGGAGUACGACCGCAAGGUUGAAACUCAAAAGAAUUGACGGGGGCCCGCACAAGCGGUGGAGCAUGUGGUUUAAUUCGAAGCUACGCGAAGAA